RNAcentral lists this ribosomal RNA (330 nucleotides) under uncultured Chloroflexota bacterium. RNAcentral's name for it is "bacterial SSU rRNA". It matches the Rfam family "Bacterial small subunit ribosomal RNA", at positions 1034 to 1382 of the family's 1533-position model. The record is from RNAcentral. Lineage: Bacteria; Bacillati; Chloroflexota.
ACAGGUGCUGCAUGGCUGUCGUCAGCUCGUGCGUGAGGUGUUAGGUUAAGUCCUGCAACGAGCGCAACCCUCGUCGCUAGUUACUUUUCUCUAGCGCUACUGCCCGUAUAACGUGGAGGAAGGUGGGGAUGACGUCAAGUCAGCACGGCCCUUACAUCCUGGGCUGCACACACGCUACAGUGGGUGAUACAACAGGUUGCAAUAGAGCGAUCUGGAGCCAAUCCCUAAAAUCAUCCUCAGUACGGAUUGCAGGCUGCAACUGCCUGCAUGAAGUUGGAGUUGCUAGUAAACGCAGGUCAGCACACUGCGUUGAAUACGUUCUCGGGCCUU